Molecule: ribosomal RNA, 468 nt
Filed under: uncultured bacterium
Lineage: Bacteria
Description: partial 16S ribosomal RNA
Rfam family: Bacterial small subunit ribosomal RNA
Source: RNAcentral
GACGAACGCUGGCGGCGUGCUUAACACAUGCAAGUCGAACGGAAAGGCCCUGCUUUUGUGGGGUGCUCGAGUGGCGAACGGGUGAGUAACACGUGAGUAACCUGCCCUUGACUUUGGGAUAACUUCAGGAAACUGGGGCUAAUACCGGAUAGGAGCUCCUGCUGCAUGGUGGGGGUUGGAAAGUUUCGGCGGUUGGGGAUGGACUCGCGGCUUAUCGGCUUGUUGGGGGGGUAGUGGCUUACCAAGGCUUUGACGGGUAGCCGGCCUGGGAGGGUGACCGGCCACAUUGGGACUGAGAUACGGCCCAGACUCCUACGGGAGGCAGAAGUGGGGAAUAUUGCACAAUGGGCGGAAGCCUGAUGCAGCAACGCCGCGUGCGGGAUGACGGCCUUCGGGUUGUAAACCGCUUUCGCCUGUGACGAAGCGUGAGUGACGGUAAUGGGUAAAGAAGCACCGGCUAACUACGUG